Non-coding RNA from Angiostrongylus cantonensis (rat lungworm), 64 nucleotides. Lineage: Eukaryota; Metazoa; Nematoda; Chromadorea; Rhabditida; Metastrongylidae. The record is from Rfam.
AGUCCGUGAUGUUAUUUCAAGACGGGGCUUACGAGAGAGUGAUUAGAAAUGAAAGACUGAGACU